This is a non-coding RNA of Mariannaea sp. PMI_226, 85 nucleotides long. The record is from the annotation of a GenBank genome assembly. NCBI's taxonomy places the organism in Eukaryota, Fungi, Ascomycota, Sordariomycetes, Hypocreales, Nectriaceae.
GCCCGGCUAGCUCAAUCGGAAGAGCGUGAGACUCUUACGAGUAACAGACAUCUCAAGGUUGUGGGUUCGAGCCCCACGUUGGGCU